Molecule: unclassified non-coding RNA, 1264 nt
Filed under: Sipha flava (yellow sugarcane aphid)
Lineage: Eukaryota; Metazoa; Arthropoda; Insecta; Hemiptera; Aphididae
Description: uncharacterized LOC112694569, transcript variant X1
Source: RNAcentral
AUACACAACUGUUUACGAUUACCUCUAUUUAUGAGUUGUUAUAUUGUUAUGUCGUUCUCAAUGAAGUUUUCUAAUUAUUGAUUAAUUGUUGUUUAUCCUUGAAUUUUUGGAACUUUUUAUAUUUUAUGAGCUAAAUAAUGUGCCGAACUAAAUCAUCAAUAAAUAAAUAUUUCAAUUACUGUGUAUCAUCUAAUGAAUCUACACGCAAAGAAUGUUCAAAAUUAUUAAAAGGUAAUCAUGAAUUAAAUUAAAAAAAACAUGAAACAACACGAGGAAUUACAUAAUGAUUUUAUAGAAAAUCAAGAAAAAAUAUCUCAAUAUAAUUCUAUAACUCAAGUGAAAAUAGAUACACUUGUUAAAUCAAAUUAUGAAAUUAAAGAGGCAUGUUCAUGAAGAAUUUAUGCUACUUCAAAAACAGAUUUCAAAUUAAAUACAAAAUAAAUUGAUAUCAUUGAAAAUUGAUGUAGUUACUAGGUUCAAUAGAAGUUUUUUGGGAUUAAAUAUUCAAUACAUAGUUAAUGAUUGUAUUCAAUUAAGAACAAUCAGUCUUGUUGAAUUAAUAGAAUCUCAUACAGGAAUAUAUUUGAAAGAAAUUAUUCUUAAGACAUUAAAAAAAUUCAAAGUUAAUCCAAAUCAGGUGUAUACAAUUACCACUGAUAAUGGAGCAAAUAUAGAAAAAGCUGUAAAAUUAAUUGGAAAUGAAAUUGAACUAUUACUAGAGUCUGAUAUAGAUAGUGAACAUGCAAACAGCAAAAAUCAAAUAGAUCCUGAUGAAAUCCUAGGCUCAGACAUAUUAUAGGAUAAGUAUAACAGUGAUACUAGUACUGACUGUGAAACAGAAAGAUUGGAUAUUGAUAAUUCUAUAAUUGAUGAUGAUGAAAUACAUUCUAUACUUAAUGCUGCAGACGAUGAUGACUUUGAGAAAAACAAUGAUAUUUGUGAGAAGCUAAUUUCUGAAAUGGAAAUGGAAACUUUACAUAUUGGAGACAGUACAAUAUUUACUGGUAUGUGUUGUGUUGCACAUACUUUGCAGUUAGCUGUGUUUGAUGCAUUGAAAGAUACAACAUUAUAAAUAUAUUGCAAAAAAUUCACGGAUGAAAAUCCAAGGUCUACAUUAGUACCAGGAGUUAAUCAAAUUCGUGAUAAUUCGAGUCCAGUUGUGAAACGUAAAAAACAAAUGUUACUAAUAUGAUAUCUAGUACUUAUAAGUUAGAUUAUAAAUUUUCGUUGAAACUGUAAUAUUUGUAUACUAUUUGUUAAUAAU